RNAcentral lists this ribosomal RNA (1343 nucleotides) under uncultured bacterium. Its description in RNAcentral is "16S ribosomal RNA". It matches the Rfam family "Bacterial small subunit ribosomal RNA", at positions 28 to 1378 of the family's 1533-position model. The record is from RNAcentral.
GACGAACGCUGGCGGCGUGCUUAACACAUGCAAGUCGAACGGAAAGGCCCUGCUUUUGUGGGGUGCUCGAGUGGCGAACGGGUGAGUAACACGUGAGUAACCUGCCCUUGACUUUGGGAUAACUUCAGGAAACUGGGGCUAAUACCGGAUAGGAGCUCCUGCUGCAUGGUGGGGGUUGGAAAGUUUCGGCGGUUGGGGAUGGACUCGCGGCUUAUCAGCUUGUUGGUGGGGUAGUGGCUUACCAAGGCUUUGACGGGUAGCCGGCCUGAGAGGGUGACCGGCCACAUUGGGACUGAGAUACGGCCCAGGCUCCUACGGGAGGCAGCAGUGGGGAAUAUUGCACAAUGGGCGGAAGCCUGAUGCAGCAACGCCGCGUGCGGGAUGACGGCCUUCGGGUUGUAAACCGCUUUCGCCUGUGACGAAGCGUGAGUGACGGUAAUGGGUAAAGAAGCACCGGCUAACUACGUGCCAGCAGCCGCGGUGAUACGUAGGGUGCGAGCGUUGUCCGGAUUUAUUGGGCGUAAAGGGCUCGUAGGUGGUUGAUCGCGUCGGAAGUGUAAUCUUGGGGCUUAACCCUGAGCGUGCUUUCGAUACGGGUUGACUUGAGGAAGGUAGGGGAGAAUGGAAUUCCUGGUGGAGCGGUGGAAUGCGCAGAUAUCAGGAGGAACACCAGUGGCGAAGGCGGUUCUCUGGGCCUUUCCUGACGCUGAGGAGCGAAAGCGUGGGGAGCGAACAGGCUUAGAUACCCUGGUAGUCCACGCUGUAAACGGUGGGUACUAGGUGUGGGGUCCAUUCCACGGGUUCCGUGCCGUAGCUAACGCUUUAAGUACCCCGCCUGGGGAGUACGGCCGCAAGGCUAAAACUCAAAGGAAUUGACGGGGCCCCGCACAAGCGGCGGAGCAUGCGGAUUAAUUCGAUGCAACGCGUAGAACCUUACCUGGGUUUGACAUGGAUCGGGAGUGCUCAGAGAUGGGUGUGCCUCUUUUGGGGUCGGUUCACAGGUGGUGCAUGCCUGUCGUCAGCUCGUGCCGUGAGAUGUUGGGUUAAGUCCCGCAACGAGCGCAACCCUUGUUCACUGUUGCCAGCACGUUAUGGUGGGGACUCAGUGGAGACCGCCGGGGUCAACUCGGAGGAAGGUGGGGAUGACGUCAAGUCCUCAUGCCCCUUAUGUCCAGGGCUUCACGCAUGCUACAAUGGCUGGUACAGAGAGUGGCGAGCCUGUGAGGGUGAGCGAAUCUCGGAAAGCCGGUCUCAGUUCGGAUUGGGGUCUGCAACUCGACCUCAUGAAGUCGGAGUCGCUAGUAAUCGCAGAUCAGCAACGCUGCGGUGAAUACGUUCCCGGG